CCUACGGGAGGCAGCAGUGGGGAAUAUUGCACAAUGGAGGGAACUCUGAUGCGGCAAUGCCGCGUGGGUGAAGAAGCACUCCGGUGCGUAAAGCCCUGUCAGCAGGGAAGAAAAUGACAGUACCUGACCAAGACGGCACGGAUAACUACGUGCCAGAAGGCGCAGUAAUACGUAGGGGGCAAGCGUUAUACGGAGUUACUUGGUGUAAAGGGGGCGCAGGCGGUAUGGCAAGUCAGAUGUGAAAACCCAGGGCACAACCCUGGGACUGGAUGUGAAACUUCCAUACUGGAGGUCCGGAGGGGUAAGCGGAAUGUCUGGUGUAGCGGUGAAAUGCGUAGAUAUUAGGAGGAACACCAGUGGCGAAGGCGGCCUGCUGGACAUUAACUGACGCUGAGGCGCGAAAGCGUGGGGAGCAAACAGGAUUAGAUACCCCAGUAGUC
This 440-nucleotide ribosomal RNA is filed under the name uncultured bacterium. RNAcentral describes it as "partial 16S ribosomal RNA". It matches the Rfam family "Bacterial small subunit ribosomal RNA", at positions 338 to 795 of the family's 1533-position model. The record is from RNAcentral.